AUGGUGGUGGGCGGAGCAGCGGCCGGAGCAACGGGGGGCGGGAGGCGCGGGGCAAUGGUGGUGGGCAGAGCAGCGGCCGGAGCAACGGGGGGCGGGAAGAAGAAGAAGAAGGACAAGUCCGCUGGUGGCGGUGCGUCCUCUUCUCUAACCCGGGAGGAGCGAGAAGACAUGCUAGAUGCCUUGAUUGAGAAGGAAGUUCAGAAGAGGAUGAACAAAUUUAAGGGGAAGAGGCCGACCAAGUUCGAGCUCUCAGUAGAAGAUGCAGGGCUGCGAUUGAAGAUUGCCAAAGAGGAUCAGACAUCUCUUUCGACCUUACCCAGAUUUGAGCUUGACAUCGACUGUGAUAUUUUGGAGUACAUUAAUCUUCUGAAGGAUAGAAUGUUUCAUCACCGAACACGUGGGUCGUAUUACUUUGGCGGUGGAGUCGUGGCCACCCCACCAAUGGGGGAUGAUGAGACAUUCAACAUGAUUGAAUUCAUGGAGACAACCCAACAAGGCUCUAAGCGUUCUGUUAUGCAGUGCAUUUUUUGUGAUAAUGAUCUGUACUAUCAAUUGUUUAGAGCAACUCCUGAGAAGGACGAAGACAGGUAUACUACGGGCAAUUUUUACAGACUUGGUGGUGUUAAAAGGGAGUUCCCGGAGAAGUUAUUUGGAAAGCUUAAUGAUGUUUAUGGAGCCCCUGAGUCCUAUCAUAAUUCUGAGCAGAUUGCAGUCUACGCAAAUGUAUUCAGGAAGAUGGUUGAGAAAGUCAAGAAGCUCACACCAGAAAGGGCUAAGAAGUUUGAUCCUGAUCUUUUGCCCCUUGUGCAGCUUCCAAUCACUGCUGUAUGCGAGUCUGAAAGGUUUCCAGCAGUACUAAGGUUCACGACUGGUAACUUUUACAGCUCAACACCGCAGCACGUAACUAGCAGGCUUGAGGAACUUGUGCAUAACUGGGGGAGGUUGUCCAAGUUGGCUUUCUUGAUGAUUCUGGCUGUCAUCGAGUUCGACAUGGAAUUUUACGAUUGCAGAAAGAGCUUCCUUGAAGCUAGAGCUAAUUUGCACAACACCGUGGGGGCGGUACGUAAACUUACUUCAAUGGUCCUGAUGGGCAUUUCAGCCUGA
This 1104-nucleotide ribosomal RNA is filed under the name Triticum aestivum (bread wheat). RNAcentral describes it as "partial small subunit ribosomal RNA". Lineage: Eukaryota; Viridiplantae; Streptophyta; Magnoliopsida; Poales; Poaceae. The record is from RNAcentral.